This 465-nucleotide ribosomal RNA is filed under the name uncultured bacterium. RNAcentral's name for it is "partial 16S ribosomal RNA". It matches the Rfam family "Bacterial small subunit ribosomal RNA", at positions 28 to 507 of the family's 1533-position model. The record is from RNAcentral.
GACGAACGCUGGCGGCGUGCUUAACACAUGCAAGUCGAACGGAAAGGCCCUGCUUGCCGGGUACUCGAGUGGCGAACGGGUGAGUAACACGUGGGUGAUCUGCCCUGCACUUCGGAAUAAGCCUGGGAAACUGGGUCUAAUACCGGAUAGGAGCCAUUGUUAGUGUGAGGGUUGGAAAGUUUUUUCGGUGUAGGAUGAGCUCGCGGCCUAUCAGCUUGUUGGUGGGGUAAUGGCCUACCAAGGCGGCGACGGGUAGCCGGCCUGAGGGGGUGGACGGCCAACAUGGGGCCUGGGUGAGGCCCCAGCGUCUAAGGGGGGGAAGCGGGGGGAAGAUUGGACCAUGGGCGCGAGGCUUGUGCAGCCACGCCGCGGGGCGGAAUGCCGGCUUCGGGGUGGAAAACCGCUUUCGUAUGGGACGAAGCUUUUGUGACGGUACCUAGAAAAGAAGCACCGGCUAACUACGUG